Molecule: ribosomal RNA, 492 nt
Filed under: uncultured bacterium
Lineage: Bacteria
Description: partial 16S ribosomal RNA
Rfam family: Bacterial small subunit ribosomal RNA
Source: RNAcentral
AGUGAACGCUGGCGGUAGGCCUAACGCAUGCAAGUCGAACGGCAGCACAGUAAGAGCUUGCUCUUACGGGUGGCGAGUGGCGGACGGGUGAGGAAUACAUCGGAAUCUACUUUUUCGUGGGGGAUAACGUAGGGAAACUUACGCUAAUACCGCAUACGACCUACGGGUGAAAGCAGGGGAUCUUCGGACCUUGCGCGAUUGAAUGAGCCGAUGUCGGAUUAGCUAGUUGGCGGGGUAAAGGCCCACCAAGGCGACGAUCCGUAGCUGGUCUGAGAGGAUGAUCAGCCACACUGGAACUGAGACACGGUCCAGACUCCUACGGGAGGCAGCAGUGGGGAAUAUUGGACAAUGGGCGCAAGCCUGAUCCAGCCAUACCGCGUGGGUGAAGAAGGCCUUCGGGUUGUAAAGCCCUUUUGUUGGGAAAGAAAAGCAGCAGGCUAAUACCCCGCUGUUCUGACGGUACCCAAAGAAUAAGCACCGGCUAACUUCGUG